This 1050-nucleotide ribosomal RNA is filed under the name Rana chensinensis (Chinese brown frog). RNAcentral describes it as "partial 16S ribosomal RNA". It matches the Rfam family "Bacterial large subunit ribosomal RNA", at positions 840 to 2597 of the family's 2925-position model. Lineage: Eukaryota; Metazoa; Chordata; Amphibia; Anura; Ranidae. The record is from RNAcentral.
UAGUGAUAGCUGGUUGUUCAAGAAAAGAGUUUUAGCUCAACCUUAAGUCUCUUUAUUAAACUAAACAAACUUUUAGACUUAAGAGCUAUUCAAAUAAGGCACAGCUUAUUUGAAAUAGGACACAACCUACAACAUAGGGUAAAUGAGAGUGACCUAAAUAAAGUGGGCCUAAAAGCAGCCACCUUCAGAAAAGCGUUAAAGCUUAACUACCCACUCAUAAUGCCUAAAAUCUCACUAACCCUUCAUUACUACUGAACAAUUUUAUACUCAUAUAAAAGCUAUCAUGCUAGAACUAGUAACAAGAAACUGCUUUUCUCCUAAAUGUAAACAUAAACCAAAAUAGACCAUCUAUUGGUUAUUAACGUAAAUGCUAAACUGUAGCAACACUCACUAGAAAAUCCUAUAAACCCCAACGUUAACCUUACACCAGAACAUUACAGGAAAGAUUAAAAGAAAAAGAAGGAACUCGGCAAAUUUUAGCCUCGCCUGUUUACCAAAAACAUCGCCUCUUGACAAACAUAAGAGGUCCAGCCUGCCCAGUGACAAAGUUCAACGGCCGCGGUACCCUAACCGUGCAAAGGUAGCACAAUCACUUGUUCUUUAAAUGAGGACUCGUAUCAACGGCACUACGAGGGCUAUACUGUCUCCUUUUUCUAAUCAGUGAAACUGAUCUCCCCGUGAAGAAGCGGGGAUUGUAAUAUAAGACGAGAAGACCCCAUGGAGCUUUAAACUCACCAUGUACCCCUGCUCCCAUACCCCCAGCACAACAGACCUACAUGUUAGUUUUAGGUUGGGGUGACCACGGAGUAUAACUUAACCUCCAUAGCAAAUGGGCUAAUACCCUUAUCCACGAGACACAACUCUAAGAAUUACUAAACUAAUGCUUACGACCCGAUAUUCGAUCCAUGAACCAAGUUACCCUGGGGAUAACAGCGCAAUCUACUUCAAGAGCCCAUAUCGACAAGUAGGUUUACGACCUCGAUGUUGGAUCAGGGUAUCCCGGUGGUGCAGCCGCUACCAAUGGUUCGUUUGUUCAACGAUUAAAACCCU